RNAcentral lists this ribosomal RNA (449 nucleotides) under uncultured bacterium. Its description in RNAcentral is "partial 16S ribosomal RNA". It matches the Rfam family "Bacterial small subunit ribosomal RNA", at positions 29 to 523 of the family's 1533-position model. The record is from RNAcentral.
AACGAACGCUGGCGGCAUGCCUAACACAUGCAAGUCGAACGAGAUCUUCGGGUCUAGUGGCGCACGGGUGCGUAACGCGUGGGAAUCUGCCCUUUGGUUCGGAAUAACAGUUGGAAACGACUGCUAAUACCGGAUGAUGACGAAAGUCCAAAGAUUUAUCGCCAGAGGAUGAGCCCGCGUAGGAUUAGGUAGUUGGUGUGGUAAAGGCGCACCAAGGCGACGAUCCUUAGCUGGUCUGAGUGGAUGAUCAGCCACACUGGGACUGAGACACGGCCCAGACUCCUACGGGAGGCAGCAGUGGGGAAUAUUGGACAAUGGGCGAGAGCCUGAUCCAGCAAUGCCGCGUGAGUGAUGAAGGCCUUAGGGUUGUAAAGCUCUUUUACCCGGGAUGAUAAUGACAGUACCGGGAGAAUAAGCUCCGGCUAACUCCGUGCCAGCCGCCGCCGUAA